RNAcentral lists this small RNA (1086 nucleotides) under Pan troglodytes (chimpanzee). RNAcentral describes it as "retained intron". Lineage: Eukaryota; Metazoa; Chordata; Mammalia; Primates; Hominidae. The record is from RNAcentral.
UCUUACAUGGUGGUGGCAAUAGAAAAUGAGGAAGAAGCAAAAGUGGAAACUCCUGAUAAACUCAUCAGAUCUCAUGAGAUUUUAUUCAUUACCAUGAGAAUGGCACGGGAGAGUCUGGCCCCCAUGAUUCAGUUACCUCCUUCUGAGUCCCUCCCACAACACGUGGGAAUUCUGGGAGAUACAUUUCAAGUUGAGAUUGGGGUGGGAACACAGCCAAAGCAUAUCAGGUGUUGUGGGAUUAUACUAAUCUAGGGAUUUCCUUCAUAAUUCUUUUGUUUUAAAGUUGUGUUCAACUUCAUACAGACGUAGUGAUGUUGAAGGGAAGAAUUAACAUAAAAUAUGCCAAGAAACUAGUGAAAUGUUAUGUUUAGGAUCAGUUUAGCAACUGAUCUGUUGGGUGUAAUCUUUCAGUUCCAUCCAGGAGGAGGAGGAAGAAAUUUUCUUUUUGUAUUGCACACUUAGUUUCUUUUGCUUCUUACUAUAUCUCUUUUUUCUCCAUGGGGGUUAGGCACCUUGCUGUGACAAGCUUUAUACUUGCCGCUUGUGUCAUGAUAACAAUGAAGAUCAUCAACUAGAUCGCUUUAAAGUGAAGGAAGUGCAGUGCAUAAACUGUGAAAAAAUUCAACAUGCCCAACAGACUUGUGAAGAAUGUAGCACAUUGUUUGGAGAAUAUUAUUGCGAUAUAUGCCAUUUGUUUGACAAAGAUAAGAAGCAGUAUCACUGUGAAAACUGUGGAAUUUGUAGGAUUGGUCCAAAGGAAGAUUUUUUCCAUUGUUUGAAAUGUAACUUAUGCCUAGCUAUGAAUCUUCAAGGAAGACACAAGUGUAUUGAAAAUGUGUCUCGACAGAAUUGUCCAAUAUGUUUGGAGGACAUUCACACAUCCCGUGUUGUUGCUCAUGUCUUGCCAUGUGGACAUCUUUUACAUAGAACGUGUUAUGAAGAAAUGUUGAAAGAGUGAGUGUUUGGGAUUUUAAAAAUAAUUAGGCUACAGAUGUCCAUUAUGUAUGCACUCUGCUUUAGAUAUGACCAGGUAUUGGAGACAGCUGGAUGAUGAAGUAGCACAGACUCCUAUGCCAUCAGAAUAUC